GAUCCUGGCUCAGAAUCAACGCUGGCGGCGUGCCUAACACAUGCAAGUCGAACGAGAAAGCGGGGGCAACUCCGUGAGUACAGUGGCGAACGGGUGAGUAACACGUGACUAACCUGCCUUCGAGUGGGGGAUAACUCCGGGAAACCGGGGCUAAUACCGCAUAACAUCCCGAGGUGAAAUUCCUUGUGAUCAAAGGGGUAAGACGCUUGAAGAGGGGGUCGCGGCCGAUUAGCUAGUUGGUGGGGUAACGGCCCACCAAGGCAGUGAUCGGUAGCCGGCCUGAGAGGGCGCACGGCCACACUGGAACUGAAACACGGUCCAGACUCCUACGGGAGGCA
This 338-nucleotide ribosomal RNA is filed under the name uncultured Acidobacteriota bacterium. RNAcentral describes it as "bacterial SSU rRNA". It matches the Rfam family "Bacterial small subunit ribosomal RNA", at positions 15 to 350 of the family's 1533-position model. The record is from RNAcentral. Lineage: Bacteria; Pseudomonadati; Acidobacteriota.